This 1337-nucleotide ribosomal RNA is filed under the name metagenome. Its description in RNAcentral is "bacterial LSU rRNA". It matches the Rfam family "Bacterial large subunit ribosomal RNA", at positions 1181 to 2547 of the family's 2925-position model. The record is from RNAcentral.
AAAAAACACACUGCCGAAGCUUUGGAAUUGAGAAUUCAAUUGGUAGAGGAGCAUUCUUAAAGGGACGAAGCAGUACCGAAAGGAGCUGUGGACUUUUAAGAAGAGAGAAUGCCGGAAUGAGUAGCGAGAGGAAGGUGGGAAUCCUUCCGGCCGAAUAUCUAAGGUUUCCAGAGUAAAGCUGAUCUGCUCUGGGUAAGUCGGGGCCUAAGGCGAGGUCGAAAGACGUAGUCGAUGGAUAACAGGUUGAAAUUCCUGUACUAUCCUGUAACAGAACUGUGGGGACACAGGCAGAGAGCGUGAGUCGGGAAUGGAAAGACCGGUACAAGCGAGGUAGGAGAAGAGUUGGCAAAUCCGCUUUUUAAUCUGAAGACGUGAUGUGGACUGAAAAUAAGUAGGGAAGCACGUGAGCUGACUGUCAAGAAAAGCCGCUAUUGUUUGCAGGAUACCCGUACCGUAAACCGACACAGGUGGAUGAGGAGAGAACCCUAAGGCCGACGGGAGAAGCAUUGUUAAGGAACUCGGCAAAAUGACUCCGUAACUUCGGGAGAAGGAGUGCCAGUAAGAUGGCCGCAGAGAAUUGGCCCAAGCAACUGUUUAGCAAAAACACAGGUCUAUGCAAAACCGAAAGGUGAGGUAUAUGGGCUGACGCCUGCCCGGUGCUGGAAGGUUAAGGGGAGAGGUUAGCGCAAGCGAAGCUUUGAACUUAAGCCCCAGUAAACGGCGGCCGUAACAAUAACGGUCCUAAGGUAGCGAAAUUCCUUGUCGGGUAAGUUCCGACCCGCACGAAAGGCGUAAUGAUUUGGGCACUGUCUCAACAAUGCACCCGGUGAAAUUGAAAUACCAGUGAAGAUGCUGGUUACCUGCGCCAGGACGGAAAGACCCCAUGGAGCUUUACUCCAGCUUGAUACUGGGAUUCGGUAUUGCAUGUACAGGAUAGGUGGGAGGCUAGGAAAUGGUAACGCCAGUUGCCAUGGAGCCGAUGUUGGGAUACCACCCUUGCAGUACUGGGUUUCUAACCAGCAGCCGUGAUCCGGCUGGGGGACAAUGUCAGGUGGGGAGUUUGACUGGGGCGGUCGCCUCCGAAAGGGUAUCGGAGGCGCUCAAAGGUUCCCUCAGAAUGGUUGGAAACCAUUCGAAGAGUGCAAAGGCAGAAGGGAGCUUGACUGCGACACCGACGGGUGGAGCAGGUACGAAAGUAGGACUUAGUGAUCCGGUGGUAUAAAGUGGGAUUGCCAUCGCUCAACGGAUAAAAGCUGCCCUGGGAUAACAGGCUUAUCACUCCCAAGAGUUCACAUCGACGGAGUGGUUUGGCACCUCGAUGUCGGCUCAUCGCAUCG